RNAcentral lists this ribosomal RNA (776 nucleotides) under uncultured Neocallimastigales. RNAcentral's name for it is "partial large subunit ribosomal RNA". It matches the Rfam family "Eukaryotic large subunit ribosomal RNA", at positions 22 to 647 of the family's 3401-position model. The record is from RNAcentral. Lineage: Eukaryota; Fungi; Neocallimastigomycota; Neocallimastigomycetes; Neocallimastigales.
CAUAGCGACUAUCGUGGCAUAUCAAUAAGCGGAGGAAAAGAAACUAACAAGGAUUCCCCUAGUAACGGCGAGUGAAGCGGGAAGAGCUCAAAUUUGAAAUCUUAAAGGGUUUCCCUUUACGAAUUGUAGUUUAAAGAAGUGUUUUCUGUUGGAGUUUCGGUAAAAGUUCUUUGGAAUAGGACAUCAUAGAGGGUGAGAAUCCCGUAUUUGGUCAUUCCUCCUAGCGUUGUGAUACACUUUCAACGAGUCGGAUUGUUUGGGAAUGCAGUCCAAAAUGGGUGGUAAAUUUCAUCUAAAGCUAAAUAUUGGCGAGAGACCGAUAGCGAACAAGUACCGUGAGGGAAAGAUGAAAAGAACUUUGAAAAGAGAGUUAAACAGUACGUGAAAUUGUCAAAAGGGAAGCGUUUGACACCAGUGUUGUUUUUCCGAAAAUCAAUUACGAAUGUUUUGUUUUUGAGGAGUUAUGACUUCAUCGGCUUGCUCCUUUCUUUACGAAACUUUCUUAAUGCACUUUUCGGUUAACAAGUCAACAUCAAUUUCUUUUGUUGUAAAAGGGUAUGAGGAAGGUGGCUUUCUUUUCGGAGAAAGUGUUUAUAGCCUUGUGCCUCUGACAAUCGGAGAGAUUGAGGUCUGCAGCGUAGAUCCUUCGGGGUUAGAUACAUUUGUGCUAAGUUAUAGCUUUUCAUAGACAACUUGUUGACUAUGUUUAGUCUUGUAGCUUACUCGCUUACUGCUAUUUUACCUACGCUUAGGAUGUUGACGAGACUGUCGAUCUC